Molecule: long non-coding RNA, 485 nt
Filed under: Coffea arabica (coffee)
Lineage: Eukaryota; Viridiplantae; Streptophyta; Magnoliopsida; Gentianales; Rubiaceae
Description: long non-coding RNA (CARA_LNC000780)
Source: RNAcentral
GGUGCAUAUUGGAAGGACCUGCAUGAAAGGUACAAGCUUCUGUCUUUCUGCUAACAGCUCUGUCAAGUACUGACUACAGGAACAUAAAGAACACCACCAACAACAAAUAUACUUAACAAAUUAAAAUAGUUGAUUAAACAAACCAAAGCUAACAUAAAUUUCAUGGUUAGAAAGUAUUCAGAAAAGGCAAACCUUUCAACAUCUGAAUCGGUCCUUACAAUUGGAGAGACCGCUCUUGCUGGUGAAAAGUUCAAAUUCUGUGUGUAUAAGCUAGACAUAACUUGCAUGCUACGAGGGUCUGAAAUUUUGCUUGGAAAAAGUUAACCUAAACAAGAAAAAGAUCAAAAAAGAAGAAUCCAAAGCCAAGAAGUUUAUGGGAAAGAAGGGAAAUACUAAUUAAAAGGGGACAAAACAUGAAGAGUCUGGUCAGAGGAGAAAUUGGAAGAAAUCAAUAAAUACUACUACUAGUAGUACUAGUUGUCUGG